AGUCUACUCUAAAUAUAUAGUAAUUAAUUAGUUGGGUUUUCUUUGAGGUUUAAUUUAUUCAGUGAAAUUACAAUUUUUUUUUGCACGAAUGACACUUGACAGUUGACUUUUAAUAACAAUUGACAUUUAACAGAGUUUUACUAUAUGCGGUUUUAUAUAAUAAAUAAAAUGUUAAAUGUUUAUAAAAUUACUUACUUAAAUACAAGGACGUUUAAAAAUUUUGGCCAUAAAAGACAACCUGUGUCUAUGUUUACGACAUUGUGGCAUGGUUUUUUAACAUUCACUUUCAUUGGUCUGGGAAUUAAUUGGAAAAGUGUAACUAAAUACUUACAUGGUGAAUCCAGUGAAGAAAUGAAAUCGCCCUUAGAAUAACAUUUAGAAUGAAUUGUAUAAGUUAUUUAAUUUUAAGUGUUAUAUAUAUAAUUGAAUAGUUUAUAUUAUAUUUUCCAUGUGAAGACACUGAUAAUUAAAAACAUAUUUUGGCUUUAUCAUUUAAUUUCUUAUUCUAUUAAAGAAAAGUUCUUGCAGAAUUUUUGUUGUUACCUUUCACUUUAAUGCAUGAUAAAAAAUUCAUGUUAAAUAUAAAAAAAACAUAUUAUAAAGCCAAAGGAAGUUUUAAUUUAAAAUAUGCUUGACGGAGUUAGUUUUGCUAUUUGUAACUUGUAACUGAUAGACACUUUGUUCUUGUCUUCCCAAUGAUCAGGGUUUCUGUAAAGGAAACGAAAAUAACAAGAUUAUAUAGUAACAAAAUAGUAAAAAUGUGUAGUAAAACCAUUAAUUUUGGUCUGCAUGUACAGGAUACAUACAGGAAUAUGUAUGUAAUAUUAAGAAAAACCAAGUCUUGAUCAAAUUAAAGACCUGCCGGUGGUUUAGGUAGAAAAAGUCAAAGAUAUGUAAUAAUAUAGUGUUAGUGAUGUAAUGAAUAGUCACAUAUUAUUGCAUAUCGCAUUCGUGAAGUUAUUUCGAGUAUGAUGAAAUUGUAUAAUACUUGGUUAAUAAAAGAAUAUCUAUUAGUUUGUUA
Danaus plexippus (monarch butterfly) is the source of this 1021-nucleotide long non-coding RNA. RefSeq lists it as uncharacterized. The record is from RefSeq and is a predicted model, not a curated record. NCBI's taxonomy places the organism in Eukaryota, Metazoa, Arthropoda, Insecta, Lepidoptera, Nymphalidae. The transcript has 2 exons.